This 330-nucleotide long non-coding RNA is filed under the name Homo sapiens (human). RNAcentral describes it as "HSALNT0353965". The record is from RNAcentral. Lineage: Eukaryota; Metazoa; Chordata; Mammalia; Primates; Hominidae.
UUAUUUACUCUGAGGUUCUCGCGGCAAGACCCAAAUGGACAGUGAUUUGGCUGCCAGCUGGUGUUAAAAACAAGCCAACUCCAAGAAAGUUAUGGAUUACCUCUAAGUGAGAAAAAGGAAGCAUUAGAACAACAAAGAAAAGAACAAAAGACUCAAGUUCUCCAGCCCCCAAACUAAAGUUUAAGGAGAUUUCAUAACCUGGACAAGAUCACCAAGUAAAUGAAUUAUUCCAUCUUUAUGAAGGCAACACUGAUCUCCACGAGCACAAUCAUCCAAACGGAGAUGGGAACCCCUGUUCUAACUCUCUCAGAGGCCUGAAGUUAGUUUUCU